This 274-nucleotide ribosomal RNA is filed under the name uncultured bacterium. RNAcentral describes it as "partial 16S ribosomal RNA". It matches the Rfam family "Bacterial small subunit ribosomal RNA", at positions 523 to 796 of the family's 1533-position model. The record is from RNAcentral.
AUACGGAGGGUGCGAGCGUUAAUCGGAAUUACUGGGCGUAAAGCGUACGUAGGCGGUUGGUUAAGUUAGAUGUGAAAGCCCCGGGCUUAACCUGGGAACUGCAUUUAAAACUGGCGAACUAGAGUUGAGUAGAGGGGAGUGGAAUUUCAGGUGUAGCGGUGAAAUGCGUAGAGAUCUGAAGGAACACCAGUGGCGAAGGCGACUUCCUGGACUCAAACUGACGCUGAGGUACGAAAGCGUGGGUAGCAAACGGGAUUAGAUACCCCUGUAGUCC